GUAAAAAUAACAAAAUUAAACAACAAAAAAAGUCUUGUUACAAUUAAUAUUAAAACUGAUUUUAUUUAUACAGCAAUUCCCAUUUCCCUUCUAGUGCGCCCAUGGGCUGCCUAAGGAAUAUUAAGCAGAGUCAGAUUAAAAGAGAAAUAUGGAAACACCAUUUCCAUAAUCACCGAUGAUCAGUAAACUUCAAAAACUGAACCUGAGCAGUUAAAUUUCACUUAGAACAUAUUAACAUCUACUGAGACAAAAAAACCCCCAAAACCCUCAAAACAAAAAACAACUGUUGUAUUGUGCUGUUAAUUUUGCUUCCCAUGGUGUUACACUAAUGGUUUGUUCACCUCUUCCCUCUGCUUCUGUUGUUUACCCAAGUUGUCCCCUCCUACCCCAGUUGUCAAUCCACCCUGGCACCUUCCCCUUGUUCCUGAAUGUUCCCUGUUCCUCCCCUCUGGGCUCUGUCUGUCACUCUGCUACUCCUCCCAGCUUCUAGAAAGUUCAGGGAAGGUAGUUGAGCGAUAGGGCAGAGACAGAGGCAGUCCCACCCCAAACCAUCCUCAUUGGGUCUCCAUGAUGUCCUUCUGACCUUAUCCUGCUCCUCCCUUGUUUCCCAUUGGUUUGCAAUCUGUCCCCUCCCCUGGUUCCUCCCCCGGAUUUCAAUUGGUGUUGUUGCUGCUUCAGGGAUUUUCCUGGAGCAGGACUCAUGGGGUUGGAGGUCCCUGUGGGGACUCAGUAAACCUUGGGUUUUGCCCUUCAAGAGAGCCUGACUCCUGCCUCCUCCGUAGUUGCUGCAGGCUCUUCCAUCAAGCUGCUCCUCUGAUUACCAAGAUUCGAAGGGGUGUCCUCCUGCAGUUAAGAGAGCAAGGAUCUGGCAUGAAUCAGAAGCAUUCAAAAGUGAGGGACUCACGGAGCGCCUCUUUAGAGUAG
Molecule: long non-coding RNA, 924 nt
Filed under: Parus major (Great Tit)
Lineage: Eukaryota; Metazoa; Chordata; Aves; Passeriformes; Paridae
Description: lncRNA (ENSPMJG00000016890.1)
Source: RNAcentral